UACGAAUGGAGCGAGCGUUGUUCGGAAUCACUGGGCGUAAAGCGUGCGCAGGCGGUCGUGAAAGUUAGAAGUGAAAUCCCAGGGCUCAACCUUGGAAUUGCUUUUAAAACUCCACGACUAGAGUACUGGAGGGGUUGGCGGAAUUUCGAGUGUAGCAGUGAAAUGCGUAGAUAUUCGAAGGAACACCGAUGGCGUAGGCAGCCAACUGGACAGUUACUGACGCUCAGGCACGAAAGUAUGGGGAGCAAACAGG
RNAcentral lists this ribosomal RNA (253 nucleotides) under uncultured bacterium. RNAcentral's name for it is "partial 16S ribosomal RNA". It matches the Rfam family "Bacterial small subunit ribosomal RNA", at positions 524 to 776 of the family's 1533-position model. The record is from RNAcentral.